GCAAGUCGAGGGGCGAGCACGGUGUAGCAAUACACUGGUGGCGACCGGCGUACGGUGCGUAACACGUAUGCAACCUACCCGCUAUUGGGGGAUAACCCGGCGAAAGUCGGACUAAUACCCAUAUUAUUCUUACCGGGCAUCCGGUAGGUCUGAAAGAUUUAUCGAUUGCGGAUGGGCAUGCGGAUGAUUAGCUAGUAGGUGGGGUAACGGCUCACCUAGGCGACGAUCAUUAGGGGUUCUGAGAGGAAGGUCCCCCACACUGGAACUGAGACACGGUCCAGACUCCUACGGGAGGCAGCAGUGAGGAAUAUUGGUCAAUGGGCGCUAGCCUGAACCAGCCAAGUCGCGUGAAGGAUGACAAGAUCUAUGGUUUGUAAACUUCUUUUGCAGGGGAGUAAAGUGCGACACGUGUGUUGUAUUGCAAGUACCCUGCGAAUAAGCAUCGGCUAACUCCGUGCCAGCCGCAGC
This 468-nucleotide ribosomal RNA is filed under the name uncultured bacterium. Its description in RNAcentral is "bacterial SSU rRNA". It matches the Rfam family "Bacterial small subunit ribosomal RNA", at positions 57 to 518 of the family's 1533-position model. The record is from RNAcentral.